Non-coding RNA from Lizanozyma spartinae, 71 nucleotides. The record is from the annotation of a RefSeq genome assembly. NCBI's taxonomy places the organism in Eukaryota, Fungi, Ascomycota, Pichiomycetes, Serinales, Debaryomycetaceae.
AUAGAAAUAGUUCAGAGGUAGAACAAUCGAUUGUGGUUCGAUAUACCUGAGUUCGAAUCUCAGUUUUUAUC